Molecule: long non-coding RNA, 506 nt
Organism: Bradysia coprophila
Lineage: Eukaryota; Metazoa; Arthropoda; Insecta; Diptera; Sciaridae
Source: RefSeq, a predicted model, not a curated record
UGUAUAUUGCUAACAAAAAAAGGAAAUCUUGUUCUUCUUUUGUUACACAAAAUAUGUGAAUUACAAGUUCAAACCACAAAAAACUCCCACUUUUCUUCGGCUGCACUCAAGCCGGAAACAAUCAUGUGAGGCUAAUUGAGUGCAAAUGUUACCGGUACGCAAAAAUUGCCGAACACUGUACACGUCGCGUCAUCUCACCACUUCAAGUGAUAAAGCGUUCAGCUCAAAAAUCCCAAAAUCAGCCCAAAAUGCGUACACUUUCUGGAUUUUUGUUGCUGUUGGUUGCCUCAACGAUGAUGUUUCUAAAUCAAGUCAGCAUAGCAUAUUGUGAAUUAGUGACUAAACCUCCUUGUAAACCAGACAUGUCAAAUUGGUUCAGUUGUAUCCCUAAAGCUGGUGGUAUGUCUAUACAGAAAUGAAAUUACAACAAAAUGCUAAACAAUGGAAUUUACGGAAAUAAAAUGUAAACUGGGUGUAUUCCGCAGCGCCUAGAUGUAAACACUAAA